RNAcentral lists this ribosomal RNA (495 nucleotides) under Chiasmocleis schubarti (Schubart's humming frog). RNAcentral describes it as "partial small subunit ribosomal RNA". It matches the Rfam family "Bacterial small subunit ribosomal RNA", at positions 794 to 1525 of the family's 1533-position model. Lineage: Eukaryota; Metazoa; Chordata; Amphibia; Anura; Microhylidae. The record is from RNAcentral.
GCCUAGCCGUAAAACAUAUACUCACCCCAACAAAUCGCCAGGGAAUUACGAGCCCAAGCUUAAAACCCAAAGGACUUGACGGUGUCCCACCCACCUAGAGGAGCCUGUUCUAUAAUCGAUUCCCCCCGAUAAACCUCACCACUUCUAGCCAACUCAGCCUGUAUACCUCCGUCGUAAGCUUACCAUGUGAACGAAACCAGUGAGCCCAAAGAUCCCACAUCAAUACGUCAGGUCAAGGUGCAGCUUACGAACUGGAAAGAAAUGGGCUACAAUUUCUACAAUAGAACAAACGAAAGACUACAUGAAACAUAGUCACUGAAGGCGGAUUUAGCAGUAAAAAGGAAAUAGAGAGUUCUUUUUAACAAGGCGCUGGGACGCGUACACACCGCCCGUCACCCUCUUCAAAUGCCAAACUUAUGUAAAUAACCACAUACAGCACCUUAGAAGAGGUAAGUCGUAACACGGUAAGCGUACUGGAAAGUGCGCUUGGAUUAA